UAUACAAAUAAUUUCUUUAAGCUGAAUCAUCUGAAUUAAACAUGUGUCACACAGACAUUUGGGUCAAAGAGACACAUCGAUGAACCUCCGCAAUCCGAAAAUGACAAUAAGAAGAAAACUGAGUGGAAUCAAACAAAAUAUGUUACACAUGAGCUGCCAUCAUCUGUGACCCAUGAGCCCAUCUAUGUUUCUCCGAUAAAACUGAAGAGUAAGGAGACGGAAAUAACAAAAAUAAAUCAUGAAGAUGACGACACAGAUGAAUUGUCAGAAUGAAUAUCAACUCAGGCUUCAUCCUCAACUCCAGCUGAGCGCUAACUGCC
This 320-nucleotide long non-coding RNA is filed under the name Sinocyclocheilus anshuiensis. RNAcentral describes it as "lncRNA (ENSSANG00000019813.1)". The record is from RNAcentral. Lineage: Eukaryota; Metazoa; Chordata; Actinopteri; Cypriniformes; Cyprinidae.